RNAcentral lists this small nucleolar RNA (50 nucleotides) under Pyrobaculum calidifontis JCM 11548. Its description in RNAcentral is "PCAsR114". The record is from RNAcentral. Lineage: Archaea; Thermoproteati; Thermoproteota; Thermoprotei; Thermoproteales; Thermoproteaceae.
GUGAUGACAAUGACCGCUGGCGACCUCGUGACCGGGGUAUGCAGCGCUGA